This 329-nucleotide long non-coding RNA is filed under the name Oryza brachyantha (malo sina). RNAcentral describes it as "long non-coding RNA (OBRA_LNC001532)". Lineage: Eukaryota; Viridiplantae; Streptophyta; Magnoliopsida; Poales; Poaceae. The record is from RNAcentral.
GCCCCCAAAAAAUAACCAUAUAAUUACACCACUAACAUCGAUUGCACUAUCCUUUUUCGUAUCUUGCAUCUCACUAUGUUAAGUUGCAUGCACCAGCCAGUUGCACCUAAAAGCCUAAGCUGAUAGGAAAAGGCGGGCAAUUCACUUUAUACACUCCAACACUCCCCCUCACGCGGGACCCCCUCAAGUCUCAAGCGUGGAAUAUUAGAGUGGGCGCUGCAAUUAUUUUAUUUAAUUGCGCGCCAGCCAGGACUCGAACUCGAGACCUCUGGCUCUGAUACCAUGUUAAGUUGCAUGCACCAGCCAGUUGCACCUAAAAGCCUAAGCUG